CACUUUAACUAAUUAAAUUGAAUGCAACAUUUUCAUUUGGUUUUUGUAUCCAUAGAAUUCAUUUAAAUGGAGCUAAAUGAAAUGAAAAUCCAAUUCUCAUUUAAAGAGACAAAACCAUUUUGUUCUCAACCUAAUUUGGGUCAAAAUGCAAUAACCUCAACAUUUUGUAAAAACACAAAAGUCCACUACUUCAUGUAAUUACAACUAGAACCCAAAAAUUUCAACAAAUUCGAAAACUUCAUUAAAGGAACAAAAAAAUUUGUCCUUUAAUGAUUUUGGGCCUUUACGUAAAUACGUAAACUUUUGGGUCAAACUACAAAUUACACAAAAGUACCAAAACUUUAUGUAAUUGCAUAAAAGCCCCAAAAACACCCCACUUGUAGGGUGGCCGGUUUUGGAGAGAAGGGAGUGAUGUGUGUGUUGAUUUGUAGUUUUAGACAUAAAGUCAUGCAAGUGGUGCAUGACAUAAAUGUCAUGCAAGUGGUGUGUGUGAAAGGGAAUUAAUCCUUACACACCCACCAAUAUUUCUUACACCUUUCUAAAUAAAUAUCUAAAACAUUUAAACAUAUGAAAGACAUAAAACAUAAACUUUAUGAAAUAAAUCAAAACUUUGAAUCAAAACACCAAACUUUUUGUUCUUGGCAAAAAUGUCAAGAACAAUGAAGAACACUCAUGAAAAACUCAAAAAUUUCCAUGAACAUUUUUCACCCAAAAACAUCCCAAAACCAUUCAAACUUAAGGGAAAUAACAUAUAACCAAACUAGGGUACAUAGGGGUUCCAAAAGUCACUUGAAAACACUUUUAACAAGUCAAAGAUGAACCCAAAAAUCCACCCUUUGGAUUUGGCCGAAUUUUCCCAAAAACAUGGCACCAAAUUUUAGCUCCAAUAUUCAUGCUCAUAUGAACUACAUUUACAACAUUUGAGAUGGCAAAUUUUCUAACAAAAUUUACAUUCAAAGAAACAAGCAUAAAGCUUGUAACAUAUUACAACUUUUAAAUCAAAAACUAUGAACUACAAAACCCAAAAGGAUUCACCACUACUAGACCUAGGCUCUGAUACCACUUGAAGGAAAUUUUGUGAAAAACAUGUUCAUUUAAGCAACAUCUAUAGCAUGCAAUUAACAAAUUAAAGGCGGAAUCAUGCUUGUAUGCACUUAAAAACAAAACAUUAACCAUGAAAUUAAAAGCCUGGUAGAUUGGUGAACCUUGACUCAACUUAAAACAACAUUUGUUAGUUGAGAAAUUAUACCUUUGUAGAUUCCUCUUUGCAUAAGCAAAGGCUAAUCACCCAAAGAGAGGGCUUUCAUUCCUUGCAUCUUAGAUCUAUGGAUUUGGAUGGAUGAAAUGGUUCUCCAAGUUCCCAAAAUUGAGAACCUCUAAGUCUCUUCACCAAGGUUAGAUUGGAGAAGAAAUGAGUGACCUUGGAGUAGUAGGAUUGCUAGCUAAACCCUCCAAGGAGGCCGGCCACUUUAGAGAGAAAGGAGAGCUUAUGUUCUCAUCAUUUCCCCAAAAGAAAAACCCUAAAUGAAUUUUGGCUAUAAAGUCAUAUUUAUACCUUAAUUCAUUGGAGUGGCAAACUUGUAAAUAAGUCCAAAACUCACUACAUCUCUAAAUGGCCAGCCUUAGGGUAUUAUUGGGCUAAUUGGGCCUUUGUGAAUCAUUAUUCAUUAAGUUGUCAUACAACUUAAUUCAAUGGGCUUGACGUUCGAAGCCCAUUGGGCCUUAAGGUCCAAAACUAUCCCGAGAUCUUUAAUGAACUUAUUCGUUUGAUUAAUUAACAUAUUAAUUAAUCCUUGCCAUAAAUAAUUAAAUCAUUUAAUUAUUCUUACUCAUCUCCAUUGUUUCUUCAAUCUCCACCUUACACGGUGUACGAUCCAUUAGGUUCCUUUUAGCGAGGCAGUGGGCGAUUAAAACCAUUUCAAAUCGAUUGUGAAUUGAAAUUUACUUUCAAUUCUCCCUUUAGUGAUUAUACACGUUUAGGGCUUCCACAAACCAUGAGUGACACUUAGCAGCAUAUCAUGGUUACCCAAGCUAAUCAGAAGAGGUGGAGAACCUAUUCAGUUU
This 2064-nucleotide long non-coding RNA is filed under the name Malus domestica (apple). RNAcentral describes it as "long non-coding RNA (MDOM_LNC011335)". Lineage: Eukaryota; Viridiplantae; Streptophyta; Magnoliopsida; Rosales; Rosaceae. The record is from RNAcentral.